RNAcentral lists this ribosomal RNA (253 nucleotides) under uncultured bacterium. Its description in RNAcentral is "partial 16S ribosomal RNA". It matches the Rfam family "Bacterial small subunit ribosomal RNA", at positions 524 to 776 of the family's 1533-position model. The record is from RNAcentral.
UACGAAGGUCCCAAGCGUUAUCCGGAAUUAUUGGGCGUAAAGCGCAUGUAGGCGGUUUGUUAAGUCUGGUGUGAAAGCUCAAGGCCUAACCUUGAAAUUGCAUUGGAAACUGGCAAACUAGAAUACUGGAGGGGUAAGUGGAAUUCCAUGUGUAGCGGUGGAAUGCGUAGAUAUAUGGAGGAACACCAAUGGCGAAGGCAGCUUACUGGACAGUUAUUGACGCUGAGAUGCGAAAGCGUGGGGAGCAAACAGG